UACGGAGGGAGCUAGCGUUGUUCGGAAUUACUGGGCGUAAAGCGCACGUAGGCGGCUUUGUAAGUUAGAGGUGAAAGCCCGGAGCUCAACUCCGGAAUUGCCUUUAAGACUGCAUCGCUUGAAUCCGGGAGAGGUGAGUGGAAUUCCGAGUGUAGAGGUGAAAUUCGUAGAUAUUCGGAAGAACACCAGUGGCGAAGGCGGCUCACUGGCCCGAUACUGACGCUGAGGCACGAAAGCGUGGGGAGCAAACAGG
This 253-nucleotide ribosomal RNA is filed under the name uncultured bacterium. RNAcentral's name for it is "partial 16S ribosomal RNA". It matches the Rfam family "Bacterial small subunit ribosomal RNA", at positions 524 to 776 of the family's 1533-position model. The record is from RNAcentral.